UGGUGCACCGCGAGGUUGGCGUAUCCGCCUCCCGGGCAGAUCACGAUCGCGGCCGUCGGCCCGGCCGAGCCUUCGGCCUGCGGUGCC
This 87-nucleotide transfer RNA is filed under the name Planctomycetia bacterium. RNAcentral describes it as "tRNA-Gly". The record is from RNAcentral. Lineage: Bacteria; Pseudomonadati; Planctomycetota; Planctomycetia.